This 356-nucleotide transfer-messenger RNA is filed under the name Bacteroidales bacterium. RNAcentral's name for it is "partial transfer-messenger RNA". It matches the Rfam family "transfer-messenger RNA", at positions 1 to 329 of the family's 374-position model. Rfam says of the family: Bacterial tmRNA, also known as 10Sa RNA or SsrA, is named for its dual tRNA and mRNA-like properties. Its role is to liberate the mRNA from a stalled ribosome. To accomplish this part of the tmRNA is used as a reading frame that ends in a translation stop signal. The record is from RNAcentral. Lineage: Bacteria; Pseudomonadati; Bacteroidota; Bacteroidia; Bacteroidales.
GGGGUUGGCAUGGUUUUGACAGCGAGUUGAAGAGGUAUGUAAGCAUGCAGUGCGUGGGUGAUUGGCACUUUAAUCCCAGUUAUCAGAAUUUUAUCUGGCAACAACAAUUAUGCUCUUGCUGCUUGAUCGAAGCAUAGUAGAUCGGCUUUAUCCCUACCACAGUGGUAGGGACAAGACGUCGCUCAAAAGCUCUUGUUCCGAAGCGUUUGAUAAAGCGGCGCAGCAAAAUCGGAAAUAGUAUGGGUCUUGCCUCGUGGCCUGUAUGAAGAUUUUAGGGGCUAAGGUGUCGGUGGGUGGCUCUGGUCUUGCCGACAUUCGAAAACCGAAGGCAGGGAUAAGCAUGUAGAAAGCAUAUU